AGCAGCUGCUCGGGACAGAGGGGCAGCUGCUCGGGACAGAGGGGCGAUAGCAGCUCGGGACAGAGGGGCGAUAGCAGCUCGGGACAGAGGGGCGAUAGCAGCUCGGGACAGAGGGGCGAUAGCAGCUCGGGACAGAGGGGCGAUAGCAGCUCGGGACAGAGGGGCGAUAGCAGCUCGGGACAGAGGGGCGAUAGCUGCUCGGGACAGAGGGGCAGCUGCUCGGGACAGAGGGGCGGCAGCAGCUUGGGACAGAGGGGCGACAGCUGCUCUGGACAGAGGGGCAGCUGCUCGGGCGGCCCCUGGCUGACUGGCGGCACUGGCGGCCCCUGGCUGACUGGCGGCACUGGCGGCCCCUGGCUGACUGGCGGCACUGGCGGCCCCUGGCUGACUGGCGGCACUGGCGGCCCCUGGCUGACUGGCGGCACUGGCGGCCCCUGGCUGACUGGCGGCACUGGCGGCCCCUGGCAGACGGGCGGCGCUGGCGGCGCUGGGCAGACGGGCGGCGCUGGCGGCGCUGGGCAGACGGGCGGCGCUGGCGCCGCUGGGCAGACGGGAAGCUCAGCUGGCGCUGGGCAGACGGGAAGCUCAGCUGGCGCUGGGCAGACGGGAAGCUCCGGCAACGCUGGAGAAGAGGAAGGCCCUGGUAGCGCCGGAGAGGCGGGAGACUCCGGCAGCGGCGCCGGACAGGCGGGAGGCUCCGGCAGCGGCGCCGGACAGGGGGGAGGCUCGGCAGCGGCGCCGGACAGGGGGGAGGCUCCGGCAGCGGCGCCGGACAGGGGGGAGGCUCCGGCAGCGGCGCCGGACAGGGGGGAGGCUCCGGCAGCGGCGCCGGACAGGCGGGAGGCUCCGGCAGCAGCGCCGGACAGGGGGGAGGCUCCGGCAGCGGCGCCGGACAGGGGGGAGGCUCCGGCAGCGGCGCCGGACAGGCGGGAGGCUCCGGCAGCGGCGCCGGACAGGCGGGAGGCUCCGGCAGCGGCGCCGGACAGGCGGGAGGCUCCGGCAGCGCCGCCGGACAGGCGGGAGGCUCCGGCAGCGGCGCCGGACAGGCGGGAGGCUCCGGCAGAGGCGCCGGACAGGCGGGAGGCUCCGGCAGAGGCGCCGGACAGGCGGGAGGCUCCGGCAGAGGCGCCGGACAGGCGGGAGGCUCCGGCAGCGGCGCCGGACAGGCGGGAGGCUCCGGCAGCGGCGCCGGACAGGCGGGAGGCUCCGGCAGAGGCGCCGGACAGGCGGGAGGCUCCGGCAGAGGCGCCGGACAGGUGGGAGGCUCCGGCAGCGCUGGAGAGGAGGAAGCCCCUGUAA
Molecule: long non-coding RNA, 1299 nt
Filed under: Oncorhynchus mykiss (rainbow trout)
Lineage: Eukaryota; Metazoa; Chordata; Actinopteri; Salmoniformes; Salmonidae
Description: lncRNA (ENSOMYG00000062912.1)
Source: RNAcentral